Molecule: ribosomal RNA, 502 nt
Filed under: uncultured bacterium
Lineage: Bacteria
Description: partial 16S ribosomal RNA
Rfam family: Bacterial small subunit ribosomal RNA
Source: RNAcentral
AUUGAACGCUGGCGGCAGGCUUAACACAUGCAAGUCGAGCGGGGUGAUGGUGCUUGCACUAUCACUUAGCGGCGGACGGGUGAGUAAUGCUUAGGAAUCUGCCUAUUAGUGGGGGACAACAUCUCGAAAGGGAUGCUAAUACCGCAUACGUCCUACGAGAGAAAGCAGGGGAUCUUUAUGACCUUGCGCUAAUAGAUGAGCCUAAGUCGGAUUAGCUAGUUGGUGGGGUAAAGGCCUACCAAGGCGACGAUCUGUAGCGGGUCUGAGAGGAUGAUCCGCCACACUGGGACUGAGACACGGCCCAGAUUCCUACGGGAGGCAGCAGUGGGGAAUAUUGGACAAUGGGGGGAACCCUGAUCCAGCCAUGCCGCGUGUGUGAAGAAGGCCUUAUGGUUGUAAAGCACUUUAAGCGAGGAGGAGGCUCUUUUGGUUAAUACCCAGAAUGAGUGGACGUUACUCGCAGAAUAAGCACCGGCUAACUCUGUGCCAGCCGCCGCCGUAA